GCAGGUGAUGGAAACGAAGUACAGAAGUGAGUCAAGUGCAAAAGGCAAAGUAUCCGCCCGUGUAUCUGGAAACUCCUGGGCUACACUGGCUUCAGUAUGGGCGCAUGCUGUUUGAAGUGGUGGUGAGCAGCUUUUGGUCGUGAGACAACACACAGGAGUAAAAAGCAGCUGAAAGUGAUAGCAGAAGGGUAAGAAGAAUCUGGACAAACUCUGGAAACUUCCGCCUCCGGAUUCCUAGGGGACUACCUUACCCAGAUCUGGGAAGCCCUUGCAAUGGCUACAGGAAACUUACAAGAUAACGCGGCUGGAACCCGGAGCCGAGGAAGCUGUGUGUGCAAAGCCACAUCCUUGAGGGGAGCUGAGGCUGAAGGGGCUCAGCCAGGGGCACAGGUGGCAUUCAUCCUCCAAGCCCCUCCUCUUCCAGCGCAGUGAAGAUUGCCCCUGGAUGUGCUGGCCCUGCUCAAACCUGUCACCCUCUCUCCGCUGCCCCCACUGCCGCUGCCUGAACGUGGGUCUCAGAUCCUGGUGUGGACUGCCCUAAUGGAGGCCUCGGUCCUGCUCUCUCUCAUCUCCCUCCCUCCCUAGUGUUCUCCCAGCUGCUUCCAGAAUGGUCUGCAAAGUUCUGGGCACUUCCCAGUAUCUUCAGGACAAACUCAGACUCUUCCUGUGGCACCCAAGCCUCUUGUCCCUGCUGAUUUCCACUUCCUCCUCUGCCUUUGCCACCUGAAACCCUCCUUCACCUGGAGCUUCCCUGGCUUCUUCCGGAAAAGCCUUGGUUACCUUCUCCUCCUGCUCUUUCAAGACUUGGCUCCAGCAAUGCCUGACCUAGGAAGUCUUCCCAGGCUGGGGGGCCCUUCCCUGGGCUUCCCUCUACCCGGACUGCAGUCCACACUGGCUACCCAUCGGCCCUGGGGGCACUGGUGUCUAGAGCUUACCAUAACUUCAUUGGCAAAUGAGAAAUUUUUAAUUUAUUUUAAAAUUAAAUGAUAAAAACAAAGUUUAAAG
Lemur catta (Ring-tailed lemur) is the source of this 1005-nucleotide long non-coding RNA. RefSeq lists it as uncharacterized. Lineage: Eukaryota; Metazoa; Chordata; Mammalia; Primates; Lemuridae. The record is from RefSeq and is a predicted model, not a curated record. The transcript has 4 exons.